Macrobrachium nipponense is the source of this 1441-nucleotide long non-coding RNA. RefSeq lists it as uncharacterized. The transcript has 3 exons. The record is from RefSeq and is a predicted model, not a curated record. Lineage: Eukaryota; Metazoa; Arthropoda; Malacostraca; Decapoda; Palaemonidae.
GUGCCAGGUGUUUGAUGUAAAGUGACUCAAGUGUUGUUAGAAAGGAUUCUUGGGUUGUUGAGGAUCGAUUUUCCACUGUUGCUGAAAGCUGCUAUGAUAAUUCGUGCAGGAACGGCGAAAAGGUUUUAAGAUUUCUCAAUGGAAGGGACCCGUUUCCAUGGUUACAGUUAAUACGCUAAGCAGAUGCAACGUUUACCUGAAUGUUAUAUACAGGAGGAGGAAACAUCAACUUCGCCCAAGAAUUUGCGAGGGCAGUUAUCGGACACUGCUGCUGCUGCUGCUGCUGCUGCUUAACCUCCAAUUUGCUGUCCACUCUCCUCCAAUUUGCUGUCCACUCUCCGUCUUUUGGAACAACCUUUUAUCUUGGGGAAGCAGUGUGAAGGAGUGGAGGUUUGAAACUCAUAAGGUUGGGCGGAGGCUUUGGAUGUGCUUACCACUGCCAGUGGCGGUGGGGUACCAGGAUCUCCUCAUCUUCUUCGUCAAUUCCUUCCGCUCCCCCUACUCAUUCAUUCACCGGGAUCUGAGGGUAACUGUAAGUGAGGGAUUUAUAAGGGGUAAUGUAAUACCUCUUUUCUUCUAAAGGACAUAGAGCUACCUUCCUCUGUCGGGUGUGACACUUCGUUCCUCCCACCAUCUGCAAAUUGUGAACCGUGGUGUAAGUAAUCUCAUUAUUUUCAAUUACAUCUCGGUAUUGGCUAUGACUAAUACUCUUUUGACAAUAUCUUUCAAUCCCCUUUAAUAAAAGUGUUACACUGACUGUUUUGCAUUUCAUAUGAAUAUUCAAACUUUGGAUUUUACACCAAUGAACUCUGACAAGUGCGACACCUGUUUCAAAUUUGACGAGUCCAAGUUGCCCCUUGCGCGUGUCUUCAUACACUUCAUGAGUUUUGGGAAAGUUGUUCAAAUUCAAAUACGGUUUAAGUACAUCCUUCAAUUCACAUGCGAGGUUGUCUGUCUCCAGGGAGAAGAUCAAAUUGUCAGUGUCAGUGUACAGGAGCUUAACUCUAUCACCAUGCAGUUUUUGAAGGAUGUCAUAACGAAACUUGUACAUCAUGUCCUUAGCCAGGUCCAGUAUGCUGAACCUGACAUAGAUUGCGGAUUCCGCUGUAAUGAUCUCUCUGCUGUGAUUUCACAAUGUAUCAUUGAUUGUUCAACCUUUCAAAGGACUUGUAUGUGUGCUUAGACACAUUUCUAAGUAGUGAGGGUUCAUCGGUGGUGGCAACUGUCCUAGUGGAAGUUCAAAAGAUUUUUAAUGGUCAUGCCAAAAAGGCCGUUCAUCAAGAUAUUGAUGGUGUUCCUCUUGUCAGGGCCUGGUUCUUUCGCAUUCUCUGUGAUGUAUUCCCUUAAAUAAAAUCCUUGUUUGAACUUGUAAACUUUUCUUAUCACGUCAACUUCUAGACCGAGUCUUAUUAAUGUUUGCAAUAGGAGAAGGCAAAUUAAA